RNAcentral lists this ribosomal RNA (478 nucleotides) under uncultured Methanosaeta sp. RNAcentral describes it as "bacterial SSU rRNA". It matches the Rfam family "Archaeal small subunit ribosomal RNA", at positions 861 to 1338 of the family's 1478-position model. The record is from RNAcentral. Lineage: Archaea; Methanobacteriati; Methanobacteriota; Methanomicrobia; Methanotrichales; Methanotrichaceae.
GGAAUUGACGGGGAGCACCACAACGGGUGGAGCUUGCGGUUUUAAUUGGAUUCAACGCCGGAAAUCUUACCGGGACCGACAGCAAUAUGAAGGCCAGGCUGAAGACUUUGCCGGAUUAGCUGAGAGGUGGUGCAUGGCCGUCGUCAGUUCGUACUGUGAAGCAUCCUGUUAAGUCAGGCAACGAGCGAGACCCACGCCCACAGUUGCCAGCGUACUCUCUGGAGUGACGGGUACACUGUGGGGACCGCCGCUGCUAAAGCGGAGGAAGGAAUGGGCAACGGUAGGUCAGUAUGCCCCGAAUAUCCCGGGCUACACGCGAGCUACAAUGGUUGGUACAAUGGGUAUCUACCCCGAAAGGGGACGGGAAUCUCCUAAAACCAAUCUUAGUUCGGAUUGAGGGCUGCAACUCGCCCUCAUGAAGCUGGAAUCCGUAGUAAUCGCGUUUCAACAGAACGCGGUGAAUACGUCCCUGCUCCUU